RNAcentral lists this long non-coding RNA (273 nucleotides) under Physcomitrium patens. RNAcentral describes it as "long non-coding RNA (PPAT_LNC001454)". The record is from RNAcentral. Lineage: Eukaryota; Viridiplantae; Streptophyta; Bryopsida; Funariales; Funariaceae.
AAUUAAUUAAAAUUUACUUGAUAUUUUUGUAGGAUUUUUGGGAUUUAGAAUUUCAUUAAAUUUUAGUCUAAGAUUAGAAUUUAAAAUUUAGGAUUUCAUUAGAAUUUUUUUAGGAAUUUUUUAAGAUUUAUUUAGGAUUUAAUUAGAAUUUAUUUAAAAUUUAAGAUUUCAUGAAGCUUUGAUUGAAAUUGGUUAAAGAUUUCAUUAGAAUUUAUUGAAAGUUAUAUUAGGAUUCAAUUAGGAUUCAAUUAAAAUUUUUAAUUUUGAUAUUUU